Oncorhynchus keta (chum salmon) is the source of this 4025-nucleotide long non-coding RNA. RefSeq lists it as uncharacterized. NCBI's taxonomy places the organism in Eukaryota, Metazoa, Chordata, Actinopteri, Salmoniformes, Salmonidae. The transcript is spliced from 3 exons. The record is from RefSeq and is a predicted model, not a curated record.
UAAAUCCCACACAUUCUCAAGUAUCAGUUCAAAUUGAUAAAUCCCACACAUUCUCAAGUAUCAGUUCAAAUUGAUAAAUCCCACACAUUCUCAAGUAUCAGUUCAAAUUGAUAAAUCCCACACAUUCUCAAGUAUCAGUUCAAAUUGAUAAAUCCCACACAUUCUCAAGUAUCAGUUCAAAUUGAUAAAUCCCACACAUUCUCAAGUAUCAGUUCAAAUUGAUAAAUCCCACACAUUCUCAAGUAUCAGUUCAAAUUGAUAAAUCCCACACAUUCUCAAGUAUCAGUUCAAAUUGAUAAAUCCCACACAUUCUCAAGUAGAAGUACAAAUUGAUAAAUCCCACACAUUCUCAAGUAUCAGUUCAAAUAGAUAAAUCCCACACAUUCUCAAGUAUCAGUUCAAAUUGAUAAAUCUCACACUUGCUUAGAAAUGAUCGCACACAUGGUUUACCAACAUCUCUGUUCGUACACAACAUUGAUAAAUGAGUGGCCUCCUGGUCAGGCUCCAUAGAAGCACACAUCGCCUACCGCUCCCUAGCAUACUACUAGCCAAUGUCCUGUCUCUUGACAACAAGGUAGAUGAAAUUCGAGCAAGGGUUGCCUUCCAGAGAGAAAGAGAUUGUAACAUUCUCUGUUCCAUGGAAGCAUGGCUCUCUUGGGAUAUGUUGUCGGAAUCGGUUCAGCCACCGGGCUUCUCCAUGCCUUGAGCCGACAGAGAUAAACCCCUCUCUGGGAAGAGAAAGGCGGGGGUGUAUUCUUAAUGAUUAACAACAUACAGGAACUCGUCUAUCUGCUCUCCGAACAUAUAAUUCCUCACAAUCAAAUGCUGGCCGUAUUACCUUCCAAGAGAAUUCUCGUCAGUUAUCGUCACAGCUGUGUAUAUUCCCCCUCAAGCAGACACCAAAAUGGCCCUAAAGGAACUUCACUGGACUUUAUGUAAACUGGAAACCAUAUAUCCUGAGGUUGCAUUUAUUGUAGCAAAUUUGAGAACAAGGCCACCUCAAUUCUAUCAGAUUACUGAUUGCACUAUGCAUGGGGGUAAUACACUAGACCACAUCUACUCUAACCUCUGUGAUGCUUAUAGAUCCCUCCCCCGCCCUACCUUCGGCAAAUCCGACCACAAUGCCAUCUUGCGCCUACCGUCUUAUAGGAAGAAACUAAAACAGGAUAUACAGUGGUUCCUCCUUUAAAGUUGCAAUAUACUGCGGGCACACCCUGCGUGCUGCUGCAGCAUUCUGUGGCACUUCAUUUAAUUCAGAGCCAUUUCUUCUGUUACAGCAAGUUAUUGCUAGUUUGACUAGCAGAGGGCAUCUUUGAGAAGCAUUUGACAGUAUUCCGUAUUGGCAUUACAAGAGAAUUUAAAACAUUAUUUUUCCUCCAAACAUGGUGAGUGGAGUUGGAGUAGACCAAAAAACUCUAUUUUUGACUCAUCAGACCACAUGACCUUCUCCCAUUCCUCCUCUGUAUUAUCCAGAUGGUCAUUGGCAAACUUCAGACGGGCCUGGACAUGCGCUAUCUUGAGCAGGGGGACCUUGCGUGCUCUCCAGGAUUUUAAUCCAUGACGGCGUAGUGUGUUACUAAUGUUUUCUUUGAGACUGUGGUCGAGGCUCUCUUCAGGUCAUUGACCAGGUCCUGCCGUGUAGUUCUGGCCUGAACCCUCACCUUCCUCAUGAUCAUUGAUGCCCCAUGAGGUGAGAUCUUGCAUGGAGCCCCAGACUGAGGGUGAUUGACCGUCAUCUUGAACUUCUUCCAUUUUCUAAUAAUUGCGCCAACAGUUGUUGCCUUCUCACCAAGCUACUUGCCUAUUGUCCUGUAGCCCAUCCCAGCCUUGUGCAGGUCUACAAUUUUACCCCUGAUGUCCUUACACAGCUCUCUGGUCUUGGCCAUUGUGGAGAGGUUGGAUUGCGUUUGAUUGAGUGUGUGGAUGGGUGUCUUUUAUACAGGUAACGAGUUCAAACAGGUGCAGUUAUUACAGGUAAUGAGUGGAGAACAAGAGAGCUUCUUAAAGAAAAACAAACAAGUCUGUGAGAGCCGGAAUUCUUACUGGUUGGUAGGUGAUCAAAUACUUAUGUCUUGCAAUAAAAUGCAAAUUAAUUACUUAACAAUCGUAAAAUUAGAUUUUCUUGAUUUUUGUUUUAGAUUCCGUCUCUCACAGUUUUUAGUGUACCUAUGAUACAAAUUACAGACCUCUCUCUACAUGCUUUGUAAGUAGGAAAACAUGCAAAAUCGGUAGUGUAUGAAAUACUUGUUCUCCUCACUGUAUGUGCAGAGGGUCCCUGUUUCGAGCCCGGGUAGGGGCGAGGAGAGGAACUGAAGCAAAACUGUUACACACCACCAUUUUAAAUCAGGAGAAUCUCCUCUUUUUAAUAAUGUAAGUCUGGGCAGCAAGCUCGUUUGUCAUCGAUCACUAGACCAGAAAUAGACAGAAGUUACAUUUUUUCCUCUACUUUUUCAUUACGCAGACACAAGCACAGUUGACACCAUCGAGGUGCGGAUGUUUACUUUCUACACAAGUUGUUUUUUUCCAGUUUCGCCCGAAGAACAGAUUGUAGUGGUAAAAUAAAAAGGAUAAAUUUUUAUGGAAUUCUAAGCAUCACUCCAGUCAAAACAGACUCUGCGAACGUUCGAUUCCAUUCAUUUGCUAUGGGCUCGUGCUAGUGUUCCAGUUUAGCCAACGUUCUAAAGCCGUUUUGACUAGUUCUAUUGUUAUAGCUAGCCAGAGCGGAUUUACAAAAGCAUACGACUAUACUAUUUAGCCAAGCUAAGAAUGACAUGAAUAAUACACUUUGGGUUGUUAGCCUAUAGUUAAUAUACUGGCAAGUUUGAUGUAUAACUACUAACGUUAGGUAGCUAGCUAACAUACCGGUACAUAAUGCUAUGUGGUUCGUAAGGACAGCGUAGCUAACAAAUUGUCAGCCAACAUAACAUGUAAGGUAACUUAUUUGAAAAGUAAUUACUUUAUUACAUUGAGUAGCAAGCUGCCCCUUGGUCGUUAGGGCACAUCUUGUCUGUGAUAGUUUUUUUUUUCACACCUAGCUCGGCUACUAGACUAUUUUGUAGUAAAGGUUGAACAGUCUAUUGUUCAGCUAUUAGCCCUCACCAACUUGCAACAAAUUGCUGUUCCCAUGUCAUUCCAUUCCCUCAUCCACACGUCAUCAUUCUGCUCCUGAGUGGCUCGCUUGUGGGCGUGCUGGCAGGAUAUGGCAGCAUCUUCGGUUGUGCGUCAAGAAUUCUGCAUAUGGUAGCACGUUUGUAUGAAGGUGUGGUUAUUCACAGGCAAAUUGUUAUAUGCUAUGGAUGUACACUUGUGUCUUUUUGUCGAGAGCAAAACAUUUUUAAUUUCCCCCCCCAAAAAAAAUUGUUCUGAAAGCAACUUUUUUACGACACAAAGGAAGUCAAAGCGGACACCUAUGAAGAUGGCAUCUCAGGUAAGCAGCACUGGGCUGUAUUGGCAUAUCCUAAAAAUGACAUCUGCUGCUUUAGAUUGAACGGUCAUAUCUGUUAUUGUUUUCAUAUCUAUAAAAAAUAAGCUGUUUUCUUUACUUUCAGAGAGCGAGCUGACCAAGGGGUCGAAAAAGUAGAUUUUGCCAGAUGUUCACUGUCCGAGAAACAGGCCGUGGAAGCUUUAUUGCUGGCAAAAAGUGUACAUAACCAGAGCUAUUUUGGUGAACCCCUCUCGCAUCUGAACUGGCUGCACAGCACGAUCAUAGGUAUGUUUUGAUGUGAGAGAGGAAGCCAGUCCUGUCAUAUCCACCUCACCCGCUCUUAGGAUAACUUUCGAUCCAACUGGGUGCCCACGGCUGGUUAGGAGACACCGCAAUUGUGAUGAACUGAGAGAAUAUUAGGGUAGCACUGUAAUUCAUGAAUCAUAUGCUGUCUGCCGCUGUUCUUACCUCUUUCUCUUUCUGUCUUCAACACCUCUCUCCCCACCUUGUCUUUCUUCCUUGUUUUAUAAUGCACACCGUAUGUGCAUUGAAGUACAGAUUGAACUCAUAUUUAUAAUAUUACAAUUAUCAUAACUAUAAU